Molecule: ribosomal RNA, 460 nt
Filed under: uncultured bacterium
Lineage: Bacteria
Description: partial 16S ribosomal RNA
Rfam family: Bacterial small subunit ribosomal RNA
Source: RNAcentral
CCUACGGGUGGCAGCAGUGAGGAAUAUUGGUCAAUGGACGAGAGUCUGAACCAGCCAAGCAGCGUGAAGGAUGACUGCCCUAUGGGUUGUAAACUUCUUUUAUAUGGGAAUAAAAUGUUCCACGUGUGGGCUUUUGUAUGUACCAUAUGAAUAAGGAUCGGCUAACUCCGUGCCAGCAGCCGCGGUAAUACGGAGGAUCCGAGCGUUAUCCGGAUUUAUUGGGUUUAAAGGGUGCGUAGGUGGAUUGUUAAGUCAGUUGUGAAAGUUUGCGGCUCAACCGUAAAAUUGCAGUUGAAACUGGCAGUCUUGAGUAGAGUAGAGGUAGGCGGAAUGCGUGGUGUAGCGGUGAAAUGCUUAGAUAUCACGAAGAACUCCGAUUGCGAAGGCAGCUCACUGGACUGCAACUGACGCUGAGGCACGAAAGUGUGGGUAUCAAACAGGAUUAGAUACCCGUGUAGUC